Carassius carassius (crucian carp) is the source of this 1186-nucleotide long non-coding RNA. RefSeq lists it as uncharacterized. The record is from RefSeq and is a predicted model, not a curated record. Lineage: Eukaryota; Metazoa; Chordata; Actinopteri; Cypriniformes; Cyprinidae. The transcript is spliced from 4 exons.
UUUACUUUCGAUUCUCUCUCUCUCUCUCUCUCUCUCUCUCUCUCUCUCUCUCUCUCUCUCUCUGCGUGUGUGUUUAUCUGCUUUCUGUGAUUUUCUAUAUAUGUAGGGUUUUUAGGUUUACAUGGAGAGAAAUACAGUUGAUGCAGGAUAGCAUGUAUGUGAAACGAAACAACAUGACUGCAGACCAGCACUCGCACACAAAUAAUAAAAUAAAUAAACAUAAAUAAAUCUCCUAGCAGAUGAAUCGGGAGAUUCUAGUGCUAGUAUUUGUGUUGCGGGUGUGUUAGAAACAACAGAGAGCCAUUUAGUGUCACUGCACACGUGUAAUAAUGUUUUAUUAUUAUUUUCAUUCGUGUGAUCCAGACACGAAUGAUUUCUGUUGCUGAGGAGAGGUUUGGUGAUAUUUAAAGUGACCAGGCUUACAAUUUCCACCAGCUGGACCAUGAAUCUGGUGACAGAGUCACAGAGCCGGAGCAGGAGCGGAUAUCAUCAACACUUGUGUCUGAACUUUACCAUUAUCAGUGGAAACUUAAGAUGCAGAAGAUCACGACUGCUGUGACAAUCAACAGAGAUCCAGCAGAGAUCAACACGAUCAGAAACACAGAGUCUGGAGGAACUGAAGAAGAGUAAAAGACAGACAGUCAUUAAUGUAAGUGAUUGAAUCAGUCUGAUCUACAACAGAAGACAGAGAUCAGCUCAAUGAAUAACUUGUGGAAGAACCUGAACAUGUGUGACAGAGCUGAGUGAUGUCCAGAUGUUGAGUCUGGUUGCUGAUGGGAUUGUUGAGCACACAGCUGUAGCUGUUUUUAUCCUGAUAUUCCACCUCCAGAGGUAGAGAGAGACUGAUGCUGAGAUCAGACACACUGAUGCUGGACAAUAAACUGUUUCCUUUGUACCAGGAGAGAGUCACAUGACUCACAUUCACCACUGAACACACCAAUGAACAAUUCUGCUCUGAGGAUGAGGAGGAUGAAGAACAUUGUGAAGAGUUACUGCUGAUGACAGGAACAGACAGACGAGCUGAGAAACAUCAGAGAAUAAACAUGAACACAAAAAUCUGCUUAUUUUGUAGUGAAUAUCAGUAAUAAAUGUUGUGUUAAGUGAAUGUUAAGUGUGUUAAUGGUCACUGAAUGUGUCGGUCAUCUCAAAGUAUAAAAUGAAUAAAUAUUUGACAGUGUAAAUAGAA